This 777-nucleotide ribosomal RNA is filed under the name uncultured Neocallimastigales. RNAcentral's name for it is "partial large subunit ribosomal RNA". It matches the Rfam family "Eukaryotic large subunit ribosomal RNA", at positions 26 to 618 of the family's 3401-position model. The record is from RNAcentral. Lineage: Eukaryota; Fungi; Neocallimastigomycota; Neocallimastigomycetes; Neocallimastigales.
CGUCUAUAUACGUAUAGCAUAUCAAUAAGCGGAGGAAAAGCAACUAACAAGGAUUCCCUUAGUAACGGCGAGUGAAGCGGGAAGAGCUCAAAUUUGAAAUCUUCAAGGUUCUACCUUGACGAAUUGUAGUUUAAAGAAGUGUUUUCUGUUAGAGGAGUAGGCAAAAGUUCCUUGGAAUAGGGACAUCAUAGAGGGUGAGAAUCCCGUAUUUGGUUAUUCUUUCUAGCUGUGUGAUACACUUUCAAAGAGUCGGAUUGUUUGGGAAUGCAGUCCAAAAUGGGUGGUAAAUUUCAUCUAAAGCUAAAUAUUGGCGAGAGACCGAUAGCGAACAAGUACCGUGAGGGAAAGAUGAAAAGAACUUUGAAAAGAGAGUUAAACAGUACGUGAAAUUGUCAAAAGGGAAGCGUUUGACACCAGUGUUGUUUUUCCGAAAAUCAAUUAAGAACGGCUUGAUUUUGUGUUGUAUUGACCUUAUCAGCUUUCUUCACUCUUUUUCGAGUCUUUCUUAAUGCACUUUUCGGUUAACAAGUCAACAUCAAUUUCUUUUGUUGUAAAAGGGUAUUUGGAAGGUGGCUUUCUUUUCGGAGAAAGUGUUUAUAGCCUUAUACCUCUACAAUCGGAGAGAUUGAGGUCUGCAGCGUAGAUCCUUCGGGGCUAGAUACACUUGUGCUAAGUUAUAGCUUUUCAUAGACAACUUGUUGACUAUGUUUAGUCAUGUAGCUUACUCGCUUGUGCUAUUUUACCUACGCUUAGGAUGUUGAGUCAUCACACAUCUCU